RNAcentral lists this ribosomal RNA (626 nucleotides) under uncultured bacterium. RNAcentral's name for it is "bacterial SSU rRNA". It matches the Rfam family "Bacterial small subunit ribosomal RNA", at positions 790 to 1413 of the family's 1533-position model. The record is from RNAcentral.
GUAGUCCAUGCCGUAAACGUUGGGCACUAGGUGUGGGGGACAUUCCACGUUUUCCGCGCCGUAGCUAACGCAUUAAGUGCCCCGCCUGGGGAGUACGGCCGCAAGGCUAAAACUCAAAGGAAUUGACGGGGGCCCGCACAAGCGGCGGAGCAUGCGGAUUAAUUCGAUGCAACGCGAAGAACCUUACCAAGGCUUGACAUGAACCGGUAACACCUGGAGACAGGUGCCCCGCUUGCGGUCGGUUUACAGGUGGUGCAUGGUUGUCGUCAGCUCGUGUCGUGAGAUGUUGGGUUAAGUCCCGCAACGAGCGCAACCCUCGUUCUAUGUUGCCAGCACGUGAUGGUGGGGACUCAUAGGAGACUGCCGGGGUCAACUCGGAGGAAGGUGGGGACGACGUCAAAUCAUCAUGCCCCUUAUGUCUUGGGCUUCACGCAUGCUACAAUGGCCGGUACAAAGGGUUGCGAUACUGUGAGGUGGAGCUAAUCCCAAAAAGCCGGUCUCAGUUCGGAUUGGGGUCUGCAACUCGACCCCAUGAAGUCGGAGUCGCUAGUAAUCGCAGAUCAGCAACGCUGCGGUGAAUACGUUCCCGGGCCUUGUACACACCGCCCGUCAAGUCACGAAAGUUG